GUGAGGUGCGGACGUUUAACGGGAAUACGGGCGUAAAAGUGCGCAAGCGGUGUGUAAACAGGUGUGAAAUCCCCGGGCUUAACCUGGGAACUGCGCUUGUGACUGCACGGCUAGAGUAUGGCAGAGGGGGUGGAAUUCCACGUGUAGCAGUGAAAUGCGUAGAGAUGUGGAGGAACACCGAUGGCGAAGGCAGCCCCCUGGGCCAAUACUGACGCUCAUGCACGAAAGCBNGGGGAGCAAACAGGAUUAGAUACCCUGGUAGUCCACGCCCUAAACGAUGUCGACUAGGUGUUCGGUGAGGAGACUCAUUGAGUACCGGCACKAACGCGUGAAGUCGACCGCC
This 343-nucleotide ribosomal RNA is filed under the name uncultured bacterium. RNAcentral's name for it is "bacterial SSU rRNA". It matches the Rfam family "Bacterial small subunit ribosomal RNA", at positions 527 to 873 of the family's 1533-position model. The record is from RNAcentral.